GAACCUCAUUUUCACAGGCUCUUGCGUUCCUUUUGCUGUGGUUUCAUCCAUGUGUGGUCCUAAAAGUGAGAGUGUGUGUUUUUAAUCUCGCACAGCGGUACCGCCCUUCUGCAGGGUUUCCGGCCUGACACGUUCACUUAUGAAGGUGCCAUUUCCCCCGUUGCCAUGUCCUGCUCCGGUUCAUCUGUUCUCACGCCGCUGCACAAGCACAGGGCCUGGAUGUCACCCUACCUGCUUUGACGCUGGCCCCCAGGGCCUCAGAUCCAGUGCGAGGUAGGAGAUCCCGGGCGGGGAGGAAGGACUCUGUGACUCCUGGCCCAGAAGGCAGCACUGGUGACAUCACUGGUGGCUGUGGGUCCCCUUGUCCAAGCCCCAUGGGUGUGCAGAUAGCGGGGGUCGGGGGGGGGCGUUGCAUACGCAAUGGGAGGGGCCCUGAGCUCCGGACCCGACUUUACAGGAGGCGGUGAGCAUGCCUGCCUCCGCUGUGGGGACCUGCCGCCGCUCUCCCUCCAGCCUGUCACUGCGUGGACGUUCUGCAAAGAGUGGGGAUGAGGCUGCGAGUGCCUUUCUUGCAGGACACGCUGAAUGUGGGAGACCGAGGGACACAGGCUCGCACACUCUAAGGUCCUGUCGCUAAUGGGAGAGAAACAGCUCUAAGAAAGUACACACAUUAAGCUUCAUCCAUCCAUUAUAUACGAAAGAAAAUGAAUUUAUCUGCUUUUUACCACUUUUCCAGAUGCCCCCCUGAGGCUGCGCUGGAGGAAGGAAUUCGGUCACAACUCUGGCCAGCUGAGAAGCUGCUCAAAGCCUCCCAGGCCUCCCCGGGAGACAAAUGGGGUCUCUUGGAGGAGGGGCCCACGUGGGGAUGGAGGUCCUUGUCGUCCACAGCCGCAGACCGUGUGCCUCUGGCCUCCAACGCGAGCAAGCUGGGCACCACGAGCAGGCUAGGAGGGAGGCUGGGAAGCUGGCAGGGACACUGUGACAGUGCCCUGUGCUUGCUGUGCCACACAGGGGUCACAGUGGAGUGCAAGGCCCCUGUGCAUGCCCCCACAGCCAUCUGAGGGGGCGGUACAGACCAAGCUUGAGGGCAGACCAGCACUUCUGCUCUCUGAUCCUCCCACUGCAGGGAGCCCUGAGCCCGAGCGGGCGGAGGGAAGAGCUCGGCUCUCUGGGUCUCCUUGGGCACAGCUCGCCCAGCCAGUCCUGGACCACCAGCGAUGCUGUCCCCUCACUGCAGGGGGUUCCUGUUUGCUGCAGCUGAAAGCAUCCUGACUCUACAGCUGCUGCGUCUUUGCACCCAUCUCAGUCUUAAAAUAAAAAGGGAAACCCAGUUUUGCUAAUUCUGGGU
Molecule: long non-coding RNA, 1348 nt
Filed under: Sus scrofa (pig)
Lineage: Eukaryota; Metazoa; Chordata; Mammalia; Artiodactyla; Suidae
Description: lncRNA (ENSSSCG00070012382.1)
Source: RNAcentral